This 497-nucleotide ribosomal RNA is filed under the name uncultured bacterium. Its description in RNAcentral is "partial 16S ribosomal RNA". It matches the Rfam family "Bacterial small subunit ribosomal RNA", at positions 28 to 507 of the family's 1533-position model. The record is from RNAcentral.
GAUGAACGCUGGCGGCGUGCCUAAUACAUGCAAGUCGAGCGAACAGACGAGGAGCUUGCUCCUCUGACGUUAGCGGCGGACGGGUGAGUAACACGUGGAUAACCUACCUAUAAGACUGGGAUAACUUCGGGAAACCGGAGCUAAUACCGGAUAAUAUAUUGAACCGCAUGGUUCAAUAGUGAAAGACGGUUUUGCUGUCACUUAUAGAUGGAUCCGCGCCGCAUUAGCUAGUUGGUAAGGUAACGGCUUACCAAGGCAACGAUGCGUAGCCGACCUGAGAGGGUGAUCGGCCACCCGGGAACUGAGACACGGUCCAGACUCCUACGGGAGGCAGCAGUAGGGAAUCUUCCGCAAUGGGCGAAAGCCUGACGGAGCAACGCCGCGUGAGUGAUGAAGGUCUUCGGAUCGUAAAACUCUGUUAUUAGGGAAGAACAAAUGUGUAAGUAACUAUGCACGUCUUGACGGUACCUAAUCAGAAAGCCACGGCUAACUACGUG